This 685-nucleotide ribosomal RNA is filed under the name Paramarteilia canceri. RNAcentral describes it as "SSU rRNA". It matches the Rfam family "Eukaryotic small subunit ribosomal RNA", at positions 957 to 1638 of the family's 1831-position model. Lineage: Eukaryota; Endomyxa; Ascetosporea; Paramyxida; Marteiliidae. The record is from RNAcentral.
GCCGAGGCCGUUUCCGUCGAUAAAGAACCGAAGCCACCAUAGACAAUGGGAUUAGAUACCCCAGUAUCGGUGUGCCCCAAACUAUGCCGUCCGGCUGGACGUCGGCUAACAUUGUGGCCGGCGUUCGGUCCGAGGAAGCUGGAGCGAUUUGGCUUCUGGGAGAGUACGGCUGCAAAGCUGAAACUUAAAGGAAUUGACGGAAGGGCACCAUCAGGUCUGGAUUGUGCGGCUCAAUUGGAUUCGACGCCCGACACCCCACCAGGACAGGAGCGCCCGAUGAAGCACCGGCCGAAUACCUCUGCCGAUGGGCGUGCGGGUGGUGCAUGGCCGCCGUAGUUCGUGAGGUGACUUGUCUGGUUGGUUCCGACAACGAACGCAACCGCCGCGCCCCGCUACCACCCGAGGCCCACGACCGCGUUUCGGCGCGGUCUCCUCGGUUCGAUCCGGAGCAGACUAACCCGCGAAUGGGUCUUCAGACCCAAAGUGGGAGUAAGCUACGGCGAUGGCAGGUCCGUAAUGCCCCCAGAUGCUCUGGAUAGCACGCGCCAUACAAUGCCUGCUCGAGCGCGACGCUGCCCCGAGAGGGGAUCGGCGAAUCGCGGGAAAAGCGGGCCCGGUCGGGAUUGAGGAUUGCAACUGUUUCUCGUGAACUCGGAACACCUCGUAGGGGCGAGUCAUCAACUGG